Molecule: unclassified non-coding RNA, 959 nt
Filed under: Hevea brasiliensis (rubber tree)
Lineage: Eukaryota; Viridiplantae; Streptophyta; Magnoliopsida; Malpighiales; Euphorbiaceae
Source: RNAcentral
GCCUAUUACGCCGAGCCACCUCUGCAAACCAGCAAGUAAAUAUUAGAAGAGCAAAAUGCCAGCAGUAAAAAAUAUUAAUCAUUGUAAAUUUUUAUUGACUGCCGGAUAAUAUAUAAAUAAAACAGUCAUUAUCCAUGCUCUCAUCACCAAGUAUGCCCAUUGUCCAAUAUUUCUAUUGACCUCUCAACAUUUGGCCAUCUACUUAAUGAACACAGUAAUAGAAUCAGUUUUUAAACACUAAACCAAUACCAACUAAGAAAUCCACCUAAGUUAAAAUUUAAAGUGAUUAUGGUAGUAAUAUAACAAUCAUUUUUGGAUUUUCCUAACUACUAUCACAAUGAUGUUAGAGAACACCACAUCAAAAUUAAUUUAAAAAGUAAACAAAUUUCAGAUUAUUAUCCAGUUAAUAGUUACACUUCUAUAUUUUGCAGUAAAUGUUAUGCUUUUACAGAUAUCACUUUCCCCAUAAGACAAGUUUUCUUUACAUAAUGUUCAACCUUCAAUUUCACUUUGAAAGGUUCAACAUCUUGCAGCAUCAACUUGAGCAAGAAUAACAUCCAACAUGCUAAAAGACAGCAAUACUACCAAAUUUUUAAGAUGGACCACUAGAGGGACAUCAAAUAUUAAAUAAUAUGAGCAAAUACUAAAAACUGAACAAUCAAAGACAACAAAUAUUUCUUUCAGUUGCUAAUAGCAAAGUUUAUUUCUGAUCUAGAAAGUUAUUCAUGACAUGAGCAAAAUGAUUAACAGAUAUCUAUUCAUUCAUUUGCCUGAAAGUCAAUGUAUUCAUGCAAAUGUGCGUACCAUCUCAUAACAGAUAUUAAGAUGCCAAAUCAACAGAAACAGGGAUAAUGAUUUUACCAGAAACCACAGAUCAAUAUACAUCAUAAGCAAAUCAACCAAAUAAUGAGAUAUUGAAGGUACAAAAAUCUCACCUACAGCUUCUUGGUUCCUCUGAG